This 430-nucleotide ribosomal RNA is filed under the name bacterium. Its description in RNAcentral is "partial 16S ribosomal RNA". It matches the Rfam family "Bacterial small subunit ribosomal RNA", at positions 355 to 776 of the family's 1533-position model. The record is from RNAcentral.
UGGGGAAUAUUGGACAAUGGGCGGAAGCCUGAUCCAGCCAUGCCGCGUGUGUGAAGAAGGCCUUUUGGUUGUAAAGCACUUUAAGCGAGGAGGAGGCUACUUGGAUUAAUACUCUAGGAUAGUGGACGUUACUCGCAGAAUAAGCACCGGCUAACUCUGUGCCAGCAGCCGCGGUAAUACAGAGGGUGCGAGCGUUAAUCGGAUUUACUGGGCGUAAAGCGUGCGUAGGCGGCUUCUUAAGUCGGAUGUGAAAUCCCUGAGCUUAACUUAGGAAAUGCAUUCGAUACUGGGGAGCUAGAGUAUGGGAGAGGAUGGUAGAAUUCCAGGUGUAGCGGUGAAAUGCGUAGAGAUCUGGAGGAAUACCGAUGGCGAAGGCAGCCAUCUGGCCUAAUACUGACGCUGAGGUACGAAAGCAUGGGGGGCAAACAGG